UAGGGAAUCUUCGGCAAUGGGGGGAACCCUGACCGAGCAACGCCGCGUGAGUGAAGAAGGUUUUCGGAUCGUAAAGCUCUGUUGUUAAGGAAUAAUGAGUGUGAGAAUGGAAAGUUCAUGCUGUGACGGUACUUAACCAGAAAGGGACGGCUAACUACGUGCCAGCAGCCGCGGUAAUACGUAGGUGGCAAGCGUUGUCCGGAUUUAUUGGGCGUAAAGCGAGCGCAGGCGGUCAAUUAAGUCUGAUGUGAAAGCGCCCGGCUCAACCGGGGGGGGUCGUUGGAAACUGGUUGACUUGAGUGCAGAAGAGGAGAGUGGAAUUCCUUGUGUAGCGGUGAAAUGCGUAGAUAUAUGGAGGAACCCCGGUGGCGAAGGCGACUCUCUGGUCUGUAACUGACGCUGAGGUUCGAAAGCGUGGGUAGCAAACAGG
This 430-nucleotide ribosomal RNA is filed under the name Bacteroidota bacterium. Its description in RNAcentral is "Bacteroidetes bacterium partial 16S ribosomal RNA". It matches the Rfam family "Bacterial small subunit ribosomal RNA", at positions 355 to 776 of the family's 1533-position model. The record is from RNAcentral. Lineage: Bacteria; Pseudomonadati; Bacteroidota.